UUCCGUUAAUUGAUUAUGACGUACUUGUACUGAUUGAGAUUUUAACACGAAGUGAGUGGCGAACGGGUGAGUAACACGUGGGUAACCUGCCCAGAAGUAGGGGAUAACACCUGGAAACAGAUGCUAAUACCGUAUAACAGAGAAAACCGCAUGGUUUUCUUUUAAAAGAUGGCUCUGCUAUCACUUCUGGAUGGACCCGCGGCGUAUUAGCUAGUUGGUGAGGUAAAGGCUCACCAAGGCAGUGAUACGUAGCCGACCUGAGAGGGUAAUCGGCCACAUUGGGACUGAGACACGGCCCAGACUCCUACGGGAGGCAGCAGUAGGGAAUCUUCCACAAUGGACGCAAGUCUGAUGGAGCAACGCCGCGUGAGUGAAGAAGGGUUUCGGCUCGUAAAGCUCUGUUGUUAAAGAAGAACGUGGGUAAGAGUAACUGUUUACCCAGUGACGGUAUUUAACCAGAAAGCCACGGCUAACUACGUGCCAGCAGCCGCGGUAAUACGUAGGUGGCAAGCGUUAUCCGGAUUUAUUGGGCGUAAAGCGAGCGCAGGCGGUCUUUUAAGUCUAAUGUGAAAGCCUUCGGCUCAACCGAAGAAGUGCAUUGGAAACUGGGAGACUUGAGUGCAGAAGAGGACAGUGGAACUCCAUGUGUAGCGGUGAAAUGCGUAGAUAUAUGGAAGAACACCAGUGGCGAAGGCGGCUGUCUGGUCUGCAACUGACGCUGAGGCUCGAAAGCAUGGGUAGCGAACAGGAUUAGAUACCCUGGUAGUCCAUGCCGUAAACGAUGAUUACUAAGUGUUGGAGGGUUUCCGCCCUUCAGUGCUGCAGCUAACGCAUUAAGUAAUCCGCCUGGGGAGUACGACCGCAAGGUUGAAACUCAAAAGAAUUGACGGGGGCCCGCACAAGCGGUGGAGCAUGUGGUUUAAUUCGAAGCUACGCGAAGAACCUUACCAGGUCUUGACAUCUUCUGACAGUCUAAGAGAUUAGAGGUUCCCUUCGGGGACAGAAUGACAGGUGGUGCAUGGUUGUCGUCAGCUCGUGUCGUGAGAUGUUGGGUUAAGUCCCGCAACGAGCGCAACCCUUAUUACUAGUUGCCAGCAUUAAGUUGGGCACUCUAGUGAGACUGCCGGUGACAAACCGGAGGAAGGUGGGGACGACGUCAAAUCAUCAUGCCCCUUAUGACCUGGGCUACACACGUGCUACAAUGGAUGGUACAACGAGUCGCGAGACCGCGAGGUUAAGCUAAUCUCUUAAAACCAUUCUCAGUUCGGACUGUAGGCUGCAACUCGCCUACACGAAGUCGGAAUCGCUAGUAAUCGCGGAUCAGCAUGCCGCGGUGAAUACGUUCCCGGGCCUUGUACACACCGCCCGUCACACCAUGAGAGUUUGUAACACCCAAAGCCGGUGGGG
Molecule: ribosomal RNA, 1407 nt
Filed under: Pediococcus pentosaceus
Lineage: Bacteria; Bacillati; Bacillota; Bacilli; Lactobacillales; Lactobacillaceae
Description: bacterial SSU rRNA
Rfam family: Bacterial small subunit ribosomal RNA
Source: RNAcentral